Molecule: ribosomal RNA, 265 nt
Filed under: uncultured archaeon
Lineage: Archaea
Description: partial 16S ribosomal RNA
Rfam family: Archaeal small subunit ribosomal RNA
Source: RNAcentral
ACACGACUACAUUAGAUACCCGCGUAGUCCUAGCCGUAAACGAUACUCGCUAGGUGUCGGCCACGGUGCGACCGUUGUCGGUGCCGUAGGGAAGCCGUGAAGCGAGCCACCUGGGAAGUACGGCCGCAAGGCUGAAACUUAAAGGAAUUGGCGGGGGAGCACAACAACGGGUGGAGCUUGCGGUUUAAUUGAAUUCAACGCCGGAAAUCUUACCGGGACCGACAGCAACAUGAAGGCCAAGCUGAAGACUUUGCCGGAUUAGCUG